Molecule: non-coding RNA, 269 nt
Organism: Pelobates cultripes (western spadefoot toad)
Lineage: Eukaryota; Metazoa; Chordata; Amphibia; Anura; Pelobatidae
Source: the annotation of a GenBank genome assembly
CCUCGACGUUCUAAUAUAUCCUUAAGUGUAGCACGCCUUAAUUCCUCUUACUGCAUGUCUUGUAGCUGACCUCCAGUGCUGUGGGAUUCAUCCCGUCGCUCGCCACCAAUUGUUAAGACACCUCCAGUGUCUUUAGGCAAAACCGCCAUUUAGUCGACCUUCCCCGUCUGCAAUCUCAGUAACUCCGUUCGCCUAACCUGCAGUACACGAACUAAAUGCAGGGGAAGCGGCAAUCUCCCGACCGGGAUCCGUGAACGGCUCCAAACUCC